CAAAACUAAAAAUAAAAUAAAACAUGCAUACGAUGAAAAAUUAUUGGUAAAUGUAGAAUUAGCAAAGAAGUUUUUACCAAAAGAAAAAUUAACUAUAGUGCAGGCUGAUAAAACAAAGCAGUUAGUAAUUAUGGAAAAGGGUGUGUUUGAACGGGAAAAAGAAAUUUUUUUAGAGAGUAAAAUGUUUGUUAAGUUAAAUGAUGAUCCAAAGCAGCAGAUUAAGAAAUUGUUAAGCCGAUUAGUAUCUGGUUGGAAUAUUGAGAUUGAUGAGCAGACAAAAAAAUAUACAUUAUUAGAAACUUUUAGAGAUCCUAGGUUAAAUUUGCGAAUUAAGACACACAAAGAAGGCCAUCCAUAUAGACCAAUACUUUAGAAACACGAGAUUAUAUAAUUUAGAGAAAUUUGUAAAGCAGAGAUUAAAUGUUGUAAAAAAUUCACCAUGUUCAAUAAAAAAUGCUGAUGAAGUAAUAUUAAAGUUAAAAAAUAUAGUUAUGCC
RNAcentral lists this long non-coding RNA (496 nucleotides) under Androctonus crassicauda. The record is from RNAcentral. Lineage: Eukaryota; Metazoa; Arthropoda; Arachnida; Scorpiones; Buthidae.